GACGAACGCUGGCGGCGUGCUUAACACAUGCAAGUCGAACGGAAAGGCCCUGCUUUUGUGGGGUGCUCGAGUGGCGAACGGGUGAGUAACACGUGAGUAACCUGCCCUUGACUUUGGGAUAACUUCAGGAAACUGGGGCUAAUCCCGGAUAGGAGCUCCUGCUGCAUGGUGGGGGUUGGAAAGUUUCGGCGGUUGGGGAUGGACGCGCGGCUUAUCAGCUUGUUGGUGGGGUAGUGGCUUACCAAGGCUUUGACGGGUAGCCGGCCUGAGAGGGUGACCGGCCACAUUGGGACUGAGAUACGGCCCAGACUCCUACGGGAGGCAGCAGUGGGGAAUAUUGCACAAUGGGCGGAAGCCUGAUGCAGCAACGCCGCGUGCGGGAUGACGGCCUUCGGGUUGUAAACCGCUUUCGCCUGUGACGAAGCGUGAGUGACGGUAAUGGGUAAAGAAGCACCGGCUAACUACGUG
This 468-nucleotide ribosomal RNA is filed under the name uncultured bacterium. RNAcentral's name for it is "partial 16S ribosomal RNA". It matches the Rfam family "Bacterial small subunit ribosomal RNA", at positions 28 to 507 of the family's 1533-position model. The record is from RNAcentral.